RNAcentral lists this transfer RNA (85 nucleotides) under Methanomethylovorans sp. Its description in RNAcentral is "tRNA-Leu". It matches the Rfam family "tRNA". Rfam says of the family: Transfer RNA (tRNA) molecules are approximately 80 nucleotides in length. Their secondary structure includes four short double-helical elements and three loops (D, anti-codon, and T loops). Further hydrogen bonds mediate the characteristic L-shaped molecular structure. tRNAs have two regions of fundamental functional importance: the anti-codon, which is responsible for specific mRNA codon recognition, and the 3' end, to which the tRNAs corresponding amino acid is attached (by aminoacyl-tRNA synthetases). tRNAs cope with the degeneracy of the genetic code in two manners: having more than one tRNA (with a specific anti-codon) for a particular amino acid; and 'wobble' base-pairing, i.e. permitting non-standard base-pairing at the 3rd anti-codon position. The record is from RNAcentral. Lineage: Archaea; Methanobacteriati; Methanobacteriota; Methanomicrobia; Methanosarcinales; Methanosarcinaceae.
GCGGGGGUCGCCCAGCCAGGUCAAAGGCGCUAGAUUCAGAGUCUAGUCUCGGAGGAGUUCGUGGGUUCGAAUCCCAUCCCCCGCA